AAGUUUGGUGACACUGUUGGAUUAAGAGUGAAGAAUGAUAGUUUAGCAUUUUGGGGAUAUUAUUCCAUUCAAAUUAGUUUUUUCAAAUUACAGGAGAUGUAGGAGGUAUAUUAUGAAUUGUUUUCUUGGUUUUAGAACUUUAUUAUUGUGUCCAGUUAGUACAAAUUAUUUAAAUAUGCCUUGCUAACUUCAGUAGCUAGCUAGCUACCAGCGCGAGUGUGUAGUUUUCUCUGCCAGAAUGGUAGAAUGGCCAAUGCUGCCGAAAAUGUUGUGGACUUUUUGUUGAAGAACCCCUUACAUUUUCUGGGGUACAUGGAAAAGUUGCGAAUUAAAUGCAGGGGUCGACCUCUGCCUGAGCUCAGUUUCAUGAAGAAGGAUGAAAAGUUGAGGGCGUUCAAUACCAACUGGUAUCAAAAGUAUAUCUGGUUAACAGGGAACUUUCAUCAAGCCGCCUUUAUUGCUGACCUUACCUGCUUUUGGAAAGUCUGAGACUUGGUGGAAAGGUGGGUACAGUGACCUGAAGAACAUUGAUCGUUCAGCUAAAUGGCAAAACAAAAGCAGGGAGCAUAUACAUGCCCACAUCAGAUUCAAGCUUCAGGGAAAAAAACUGCAUAGAUUAUGAUGAAGGUCUGCGUAUUCAAACUGUGCAACACAACCAGAAAGUAAGAAGAAACAGGGAUGUUAUCAAGCUGCUUAUCAACACAACUGCGUUUUUGGGCAUGCAAUAAUUUACUUUUAGAGGACACGACGAGAGGGAAAGUUCCACCAACAAGGGCAACUACAAGGAGCUUGCAGAGCUAAGUCCCCUCCUGUUCCCUGAUUUAAGAGGUGAUGACUACUCCACUUCACUACCAUAGUCAACUUUCUCCUGACAAUAACUGAAGACCCUUCUCAUGUGGACGCUCAUCCACUGGCACAUUGAAUGUUUCCCCUCCAAGCACUUCAAAUCCUGUCCUGCACUGGUCAAGCCUCUGAACACCUCAACCCAUGCCUCAUACCUCAUUCAAUCCCUGCUGUGUACCCUUUCCAACACUUUGUAGCCCUCUCAUUCCCAUUCCCCAUAAUAUUGUACCAUAAAUGACUUUAUUAAAUGCUUUAGGUUAAAAUAAUUAUUCUUUGACAAUUUUUGAAAACACACUUUGUUGUCUCCGUGCAUUCUGCGCCUAUACCGUGGGUCUCCCAUCCUCCUCAAUUAUUAAAGUCAGCAGCCUCCACUGCUAUGAACAGAGGUCCUCAUAAGAAAGUGGAACCAAACCGCCUAUGUUGACAGCCAGGUCUCACGUGACAUUGUAAAUGUGAAUUCGGUAUUUACAGUUGAAGUCGGAAGUUUACAUACACCUUAGCCAAAUACAUUUAAACUCAGUUUCACAAUUCCAGACAUUUAAUCCUAGUAAAAAUGUGCUUUCUUAGUUAGGAUCACCACUCUAUUUUAAGAAUGUGAAAUGUCAAAAUAAUAGUAGAGAGAAUGAUUUAUUUCAGCUUUGAUUUCUUUCAUCACAUUCCCAGUGGGUCAGAAGAUGACAUAUGCUCAAUUAGUAUUUCGUAGCAUUGAUUUUAAAUUGUUUAACUUGGGUCAAACGUUUUGGGUAGCCUUCCACAAGCUUCCCACAAUGAGUUGGGUGAAUUUUGGCCCAUUCCUCCUGACAGAGCUGGUGUAACUGAGUCAGGUUUGUAGGCCUCCUUGCUCACACACACUUUUUCAAUUCUGUCCACAAAUUUUCUAUAGUAUUGAGGUCAGGGAUUUGUGAUGACCACUCCAAUACCUUGACUUUGUUGUCCUUAAGCCAUUUUGCCACAACUUUGGAAGUAUGCUUGGGGUCAUUGUCCAUUUGGAAGACCCAUUUGCAACCAAGCUUUAACUUCCUGACUGAUGUCUUGAGAUGUUGCUUCAAUAUAUCCACAUAAUUUUCCUCCCUCAUGAUGUCAUCUAUUUUGUGAAGUGCACCAGUCCCUCCUGCAGCAAAGCACCCCCACAACAUGAUGCUGCCACCCUGUGCUUCACAGUUGGAAUGGUGUUCUUCGGCUUGCAAGCAUCCCCCUUUUUCCUCCAAACAUAACAAUGGUCAUUAUGGCCAAACAGUUCUAUUUUUGGUUCAUCAAACCAGAGGACAUUUCUCCAAAAAAUUAUGAUCUUUGUCCCCAUGUGCAGUUGCAAACCGUAGUCUGGCUUUUUUAUAGCAGUUUUGGAGCAGUGGCUUCUUCCUUGCUGAAUGGCCUUUCAGGUUAUGUCGAUAUAGGACUCGUUUUACUGUGGAUAUAGAUACGUUUGUACCUGUUUCCUCCAGCAUCUUCACAAGGUCCUUUGCUGUUGUUCUGGGAUUGACUUGCACUUUUCGCACCAAGGUAUGUUCAUCUCUAGGAGACAGAGCGCGUCUCCUUCCUGAGCGGUAUGACGACUGCGUGGUCCCAUGGUGUUUAUACUUGCAUACUAUUGUUUGUACAGAUGAAUGUGGUACCUUCAGGCAUUUGGAAAUUGCUCCCAAGGAUGAACCAGACUUGUGGAGGUCUACAAUCUUUUUUCUGAGGUCUUUGCUGAUUUCUUUUGAUUUUCCUAUGAUGUCAAGCAAAGAGGCACUGAGUUUGAAGGUAGGCCUUGAAAUACAUCUACAGGUACACCUCCAAUUGACUCAAAAGAUGUCAAUUAGAAUUAGAAUAUCAGAAGCUUCUAAAGCCAUGACAUCAUUUUCUGGAUUUUUCCAAGCUGUUUAAAGGCAAAGUCAACUUAGUGUUGACUGUGAACUUCUGACCCACUGGAAUUGUGAUACAGUGAGUGAAAUAAUUUGUCUGUAAACAAUUGUUGGAAAAUUUACUUGUGGCAUGUACAAAGUAGAUGUCCAAACCAACUUGCCAAAACUAUAGUUUGUUAACAAGAAAUCUGUGGAGUGGUUGAAAAACGAGUUUUAAUGACUCCAACCUAAGUGUAUGUAAACUUCCGACUUCAACUGUACAUACAAAAUAAUACGAAAAUGCUCUGAGACCAGGUUGACGGGGAAGGAUAAGGAAUGUCCCUUGCUUCAGCUUCAAUUCCAUGUGAUAGUUUUUUUUGUCUUUCUCCCAAAUAUUUUACUCCACUGUCUACAGAAAGGAACAAACGAUGGAAAGACUAUUGUGAAAUGAUCUGAACAAAAAGCAGUCAAGCAGUCAGUCUGACAAACAAACACACACACACUAGACGAUAGAUUCGAGGAGAAAACCACCAAAAAUCCCUUCAGAACUUCACAGUCUGUCUUUUGUCAGGCUAUCUAGCGCUGCAAUCACACUAUGUGAACGCACGCUGAUGCCCCUCAGUAGGCCUCUGCUGCAUAUCUGUCUGCCUGUCCAUCUGUCACGGCUGAGUCUAAUAUGACAGCCUCUGCCUGUGUGUCUGAGAGCGUUAAAGCACAGUGGAAUCUGACAACACAAAGCAGCAAGAGCUCUAAAAUAACGAUGAAAGCUCUACUCUGUACCCAUUGUUUUAAUAAAGCUCUACUCUAUAACCAUUGUUUUAAUAAAGCUCUACUCUAUAACCAUUGUUUUAAUCGAGCUCUACUCUAUAACCAUUGUUUUUAAUAAAGCUCUACUUUAUAACCAUUGUUUUAAUAAAGCUCUACUCUAUAGCCAUUGUUUUAAUAAAGCUAUACUCUAUAACCAUUGUUUUAAUAAAGCUCUACUCUAUAGCCAUUGUUUUUAAUAAAGCUCUACUCUAUAACCAUUGUUUUAAUAAAGCUCUACUCUCCUGUGA
Salvelinus fontinalis (brook trout) is the source of this 3721-nucleotide long non-coding RNA. RefSeq lists it as uncharacterized. Lineage: Eukaryota; Metazoa; Chordata; Actinopteri; Salmoniformes; Salmonidae. The record is from RefSeq and is a predicted model, not a curated record. The transcript has 3 exons.